AGGCUGCAUCAUCAAAAGAUUACUCCUGACCCCCAUAUAUGCUUCAUUCAGACCCAUUAAAAACUGAAAAACCUUAUUGUCAUCACUUUCCUGUACUAUACCAUCUUUUGCAGCACAAAUACACCUUUGACUGUGAUUAACACACAUUGAAUCUAGUUCAUCCCACAGUCCUUUUAGCUUAUUAAAAUAGGAAGCUAUAUCUAAGGACUCUUGAGAGGUGUGGGACAGCUCUCUUUUCAGUUCAAAGAUUUUGGUCCUGUUUGCAGUGCCAUAUCUGGCCUGGAGUUGGGACCAUACACUCUGUGAUUUUGGUCCUGUUUGCAGUGCCAUAUCUGGCCUGGAGUUGGGACCAUACACUCUGUGCAGUAUCAGAGUACUGCACAGAUUCAGCAAUUGAAGGGGAGAUGGAAGCAGUUAACAAAGAAAUCACCAUGUUGUUGCACCUAUCCCACAACCUUUGUUGAGCCACAUUAAGGGCAGGUCGGGAGCAUGUGCCAUCAACAAAACCAAUUUUGUUUUUGGCUGAUAAAGCAACAAUCAUUUUACGUCUCCAGCCCUCAUAACCACUACCCGAGAAGGGAGUGGGGACAAGAGAGACCCCAGGGACAUCAGAGGAAUAUACAAAAAGG
Molecule: long non-coding RNA, 629 nt
Filed under: Nicotiana benthamiana
Lineage: Eukaryota; Viridiplantae; Streptophyta; Magnoliopsida; Solanales; Solanaceae
Description: long non-coding RNA (NBEN_LNC017177)
Source: RNAcentral